Molecule: long non-coding RNA, 1204 nt
Organism: Eurytemora carolleeae
Lineage: Eukaryota; Metazoa; Arthropoda; Copepoda; Calanoida; Temoridae
Exons: 4
Source: RefSeq, a predicted model, not a curated record
CAAACUUUGAAAUUCGAAAAAAAUACAAGUUUUCAAGUCAAAAUCUCAUUGAUUUUUUCUUGAGAGCGUGAGAACUUUAAAUCACAGUGAACGGAAUAAAGAACACAGACCGUGAACUCCUUAGCUCCGUGUGUACCCGGAGACAGGUGAACCUGAAGCUGAACCUGAUAAUCCAACCAACCAUGGAGAAUAUACAGAUAUAUAAUUUUAGUCCUAAUCAUUCUUCCAGAGAAAAUACUUCAUUCUAAAAUUACUGGCAAACUAUAUUUUGUGAAGAUAUAACAUUUAUAACUUUCCAUUAAUAAAUAAAAUGAAGUUUAAUAAAUGUCAAUCAGAUUAUCAGAAAGUUACAGAAUGAUAUAAAAUUUUUCAGAUUUAAAGUUUUCAUUGAAACAUCUUACAAAUUGUAUCAAACCAAAAUCAGAAGUUCGACCUCAAAACUAUUGCCACCCUCUAACUAAACCCUAUCCAGCUUCAAAAUCAACCUUAAUAUCUACCAUUUUACAAAUCAACCAACAAGUAAACUAGAAUCCAAAUCAACCAACACCUCAACCAGUUUCCAAAUCAACCAAUUCCUCAACUGCUUUCUUAAUCAACCAAAACAUAAACCUAUAAUUUCCAAAUCAACCUAUACAUCAACCAGUUUUUAGAUCAACCAAAACCUCAACUUCUUUUUAAAUCAACCAAAGCCUCUAAAUCAACCAGUUUUGAAAUCAACAAUUGCAGUAAACGACAACCAAAUUCCAAAUUACCUAAACAUCAACCAAAAAUUUCUAAAUUUACUACAGAACGUCAACCAGGUUCUAAAUCAAACUUCGGAACGUCAACCAGUUUCCAAAUCAACUUACAGAACGACAACCUGAAUCCAAAUAAUUUGAAUAUCAACCAGACUCCAAAUCAACCUGCAAGAUUCCAAACCAAUUCCAAAACCUCGACCUCUAAUUCAUCAGACAGUGUCUAAAAUUAGGAAAUAAACUAAAAAUGAAGAUUUUGUUAAUUUUCCUGCUUGUUCUUCCAAGUAAAGUCUCUCUUUCAGUAAGUUUUCCAGAUGAGAAAAGACAGUUCCAAUCAAGGACAACUUUAUCACGGUUUAAUGAAACAGGACGGCAAGCAUCGAGGGAGGGUAGAGUGUUUAGCAUCUUUACUCUGGUUAGGUUUAAGAAUACAGCAUGUACUCCAAAUACAAAUUCUUUAAGCAAAGGAA